Molecule: ribosomal RNA, 484 nt
Filed under: uncultured bacterium
Lineage: Bacteria
Description: partial 16S ribosomal RNA
Rfam family: Bacterial small subunit ribosomal RNA
Source: RNAcentral
AUUGAACGCUGGCGGCAGGCCUAACACAUGCAAGUCGAGCGGAUGAAGGGAGCUUGCUCCUGGAUUCAGCGGCGGACGGGUGAGUAAUGCCUAGGAAUCUGCCUGGUAGUGGGGGAUAACGUCCGGACACGGGCGCUAAUACCGCAUACGUCCUGAGGGAGAAAGUGGGGGAUCUUCGGACCUCACGCUAUCAGAUGAGCCUAGGUCGGAUUAGCUAGUUGGUGGGGUAAAGGCCUACCAAGGCGACGAUCCGUAACUGGUCUGAGAGGAUGAUCAGUCACACUGGAACUGAGACACGGUCCAGACUCCUACGGGAGGCAGCAGUGGGGAAUAUUGGACAAUGGGCGAAAGCCUGACCCAGCCAUGCCGCGUGUGUGAAGAAGGUCUUCGGAUUGUAAAGCACUUUAAGUUGGGAGGAAGGGCAGUAAGUUAAUACCUUGCUGUGUUGACGUUACCAACAGAAUAAGCACCGGCUAACUUCGUG